This is a transfer RNA of 108 nucleotides. It matches the Rfam family "tRNA". From Rfam's summary of the family: Transfer RNA (tRNA) molecules are approximately 80 nucleotides in length. Their secondary structure includes four short double-helical elements and three loops (D, anti-codon, and T loops). Further hydrogen bonds mediate the characteristic L-shaped molecular structure. tRNAs have two regions of fundamental functional importance: the anti-codon, which is responsible for specific mRNA codon recognition, and the 3' end, to which the tRNAs corresponding amino acid is attached (by aminoacyl-tRNA synthetases). tRNAs cope with the degeneracy of the genetic code in two manners: having more than one tRNA (with a specific anti-codon) for a particular amino acid; and 'wobble' base-pairing, i.e. permitting non-standard base-pairing at the 3rd anti-codon position. The record is from Rfam.
GGUCUCGUGGCGCAAUGGCUAGCGCAUAGAGCUUCUAAACUGAGAAGUGGAGUUUUACCCCUUUUCAGAACAACUCUAAGGCUGCGGGUUCGAGUCCCGCCGUGACCU